AUGCCUUUGGGUUUUUAUUUCUGAGCUACGUUUGUCAUAAUGUACAUUUAUUACUAUUACUACAUCAAUUCGACGUCCACGGUAUUACACAGACACUUGCGUUAAUAGUGUGUUUAACUGAAAAGAGUAGUCCGUUGCCCAGUCAGUUGUCAUGGUAACAUGUACGCGUCCGAAAAUGGCGUUCUUGAACAGCCCCAAAGGUGGACUGUGUCGCAGUGGGAAGAUGUAAGACAAACCUUCACAAAUGGGGAUAUUCCACCAGCUCAACCAUGUGUGACUGCAAAACAGAGCCGCAGACCAUGGACCACCUCAUAAGAUGCCCACUGCUGACAGCGACCUGCACCAGAGAAGACCUGACCAUGUACACUCUACCGGCCCAGCUUUGUGUAAAGAAGUGGGCAAGCACAGUCUGACGUAGGACACAAAAUAAGAAGAAGCAAGAAACUUGCUUUUACCCUUCCAAAAAUGUCAAGUGGUGUAACCAUUAAUGUAUUUAAAAUAAUAUUUUUUUCUAUGUAUUUUCCACAAAUUAAAAAUGUAAAUAUCAA
Molecule: long non-coding RNA, 548 nt
Organism: Anguilla anguilla (European eel)
Lineage: Eukaryota; Metazoa; Chordata; Actinopteri; Anguilliformes; Anguillidae
Exons: 2
Source: RefSeq, a predicted model, not a curated record